UCCACCUCCAGAAGCAUUGCAGUUGUGGCUGUGGUGUCACAUGUGUGUCAGGAGGUGGCAGAGAGGUAGCUAUGUCUAUGCUCAGUGUUCUCACCUGUGAACAUUUGAAUGUUUCAGCCUAACAUC
This 126-nucleotide small nucleolar RNA is filed under the name Meriones unguiculatus (Mongolian gerbil). RNAcentral describes it as "Small nucleolar RNA SNORA17 (ENSMUGG00000000189.1)". It matches the Rfam family "Small nucleolar RNA SNORA17". Rfam says of the family: snoRNA ACA 17 belongs to the H/ACA family of snoRNAs and is predicted to guide pseudouridylation of the 28S rRNA at positions U4659 and U4598. It shares the same host gene together with ACA43. Lineage: Eukaryota; Metazoa; Chordata; Mammalia; Rodentia; Muridae. The record is from RNAcentral.